This 19-nucleotide microRNA is filed under the name Pongo pygmaeus (Bornean orangutan). RNAcentral describes it as "ppy-miR-563". Its record names the gene ppy-miR-563. The record is from miRBase by way of RNAcentral. Lineage: Eukaryota; Metazoa; Chordata; Mammalia; Primates; Hominidae.
AGGUUGACAUACAUUUCCC